AAAGAUGCCCUGCUGAUAUGAAAAUUGCAUGUGGUACACUUGGAUGGACAGAUUAAAAACACCCAGAACCAAACUUAUUCAUGGAGGAAGCAGGUGAAAUUUCCUAUUCAGGUAUGUGCUGCAUAGUGUAUUGAGUGUAGAUACAAACUCUGCUCAUGCUCCGAGGUGACCAAAAUCUGUAUGACCUGAGAAGUGUGCUGCAGCAUACUGGUGGUGAGCACCAGCUGGAGGCUCCUCUGGAUGCACACAUCCCACCUGGAGUUCAGGCACAGCUCACACGAUGAUGUGAUGGGCAGCAGGGCUGUAGCUACGAUUAAAGACUGAUUGCUAACCCAGUUCCUGUCUGCAGGAUUAGGACACAAAAAUACAAGCUUUUGUGGAUAAUACCUCAGAACUGUCUUGUACAUGUCAUAUGGAUGAUGUAAACUGUGGAGGCUGUAAGUGUCUUAAAUGUCUCAGCAUUGCAAUUCUGCAAUUGGGAGAGUUGGGAAGAGUGGAUCCUUGCUCCUGUGGGGUACAAACAAUCCUCAUGGUUUGGUCCUUGUCUACUAAGCCAGAUUCAUAUGCUCAGAAGCAAAGUUCCAGGUGCUUUGUUUCCUGGGGUGGAGGAAAAAACUGCAUCUUUACAUCUGAUUGCUUCACUUAAUUUGGCUUUGGUCAUAGACCCCAGGUAAGUAUGUUUUUGCAGUUACAUUUGUUGAAACAGGACCCAGGGGCUGCAGUCCCCAGAGCCUGGCUGGGGAGCAGAUGAGCUGUAGAGUUCAGUCCCUCUGGCCCAAUGCUGUGAAGCUUUUCUGUGCAAAACGAGGGGCACCACUGCAGAUAUCCACAAACAGAGCAUUUGCCUCCAUGGUUGGCUGGCAGAGAGGUGUCUUUUCUAGGCACCACUGUGUGCCUGUGACAGAGUGGCAGAACAGGUCUGGGGAACAGGACCCCCGCAUGCCUCUCAUUGUGCAUGCUGAAAGGAGCAGCUGGAUUAAGAUGCCUCCUUCCCUCUGCAACCCUUCUUAUCCGCACUGAAAUCACCAAGACAAUAAUAUGUUGGAUGUCUGAGGACUUCAGAAUGGAUGCCCUAUUAUUUCUCUCUUUUGUUUUGUUAUAAUAUGUGUGACCUUCAACUGCUUUCACACACUUUUCACUCUGCAGAGAAAAUACCAUGCUGAAUGGCUUAACUGCGAUUUCAAUACAAAACUAACCAACAAAAAGAGUGUAUGGGACAAAAGCAACAAUGCGGGCAACGACAUUCAGAAGUGUUAGAAGUAAAUCUAACUGCACACAAAGCAGAGUUCAGCUAAGUGUCACUGCCAAAAAACAUCUUCUGUUCUCUAUGAAAUGAAAUUGGAAAAGAGCUAAAUCGAGUGCUGAAACUCACUGGAUGCGUUAAAGGUGGGAGAGGGGGGAUGUACCUGCUCUGGGGGACUGAAGGCACCUGUUUUACAUCUCUGCAUUUUUGACAGGUGGGACAGAGAAGGACUGGUAUUUCAGCUGGUGUAAAAGCAUACAGUGAUUUGCUUAUACAGAGGAUCUGCUCUAUGGUUUAUGCUUAUUUCUCCCAGGCAACACUUUAGAAAGCAAUCAGAUAGUAGUUCAUAUCUGAUUUUGAGUGUACACCCAGAGGGAGAUGCUGAUUUCCUCCUUUUUGAAACAUGUAUUGAUAAAAUAAUAAUCUAUUUUCAUGUGCUUCCUUAUCUUCACCUACUCUUCUGUCUCGGUUUUACUGCCAUUCAGAUUAGGUUUAGUCCUACAUCGGGGAUGAAAAAUGUGGACCGGUUGUGCUGGAGGAAUAGGCAAAGACCCCCGUUUUAUUGAACAAGGUUAUGCUGCGACACACGAGUUGCUUUCAGAUGUAAGGGGUAAUGCAUAAGCCAAUGCUUCAUUUGCAUGCUAAGGAAGGUCUGAAUGCCUGCUUGUUCUCUGCUUGGAUCACUGUAAUAUGCAUGAGUGAGAAAGGAGGAUAAUAACCAGAGGAAGAAGUUGCUUUUAUUAACCUGCUUUUGCAUUUUUCCUUUUCGAUGAAAACUUUAGAGGCAGAUAUUUGCUUCCUUUGUAAAAAACAUGGUUUGUGUGUGUGUGUUUCAAGUAUUAAAAAUGGGAAUAAAAAGGUUUUGGUCCUGAUUUUUUUAAUUAGAGUGAAAAAGGAGAAUGUCUACAUGGGUUUGAUAAGAGACAUAAAA
Oxyura jamaicensis (ruddy duck) is the source of this 2174-nucleotide long non-coding RNA. RefSeq lists it as uncharacterized. The record is from RefSeq and is a predicted model, not a curated record. Lineage: Eukaryota; Metazoa; Chordata; Aves; Anseriformes; Anatidae. The transcript has 5 exons.